RNAcentral lists this ribosomal RNA (253 nucleotides) under uncultured bacterium. Its description in RNAcentral is "partial 16S ribosomal RNA". It matches the Rfam family "Bacterial small subunit ribosomal RNA", at positions 524 to 776 of the family's 1533-position model. The record is from RNAcentral.
UACGUAGGGUCCGAGCGUUGUCCGGAAUUACUGGGCGUAAAGAGCUCGUAGGUGGUUUGUCGCGUUGUUCGUGAAAACUCACAGCUCAACUGUGGGCGUGCGGGCGAUACGGGCAGACUUGAGUACUGCAGGGGAGACUGGAAUUCCUGGUGUAGCGGUGGAAUGCGCAGAUAUCAGGAGGAACACCGGUGGCGAAGGCGGGUCUCUGGGCAACAACUGACGCUGAGGUGCGAAAGCGUGGGGAGCGAACAGG